This is a long non-coding RNA of Seriola aureovittata, 735 nucleotides long. RefSeq lists it as uncharacterized. Lineage: Eukaryota; Metazoa; Chordata; Actinopteri; Carangiformes; Carangidae. The transcript has 3 exons. The record is from RefSeq and is a predicted model, not a curated record.
AACAGGGAUAAUUUGGUCCCUGUCUGUCUGUCUGUCUGUCUGUCUGUCUGCAGGGGAGGAGAGAGGUGUGUAUGUGUGUGUUUCACUGUGAAUCAUUCUCCCUCUCUGUCUGUGUUCCGCCCUCUCCUCUCCUCCUUUUCUUGAGAUAGUGACCAACAGAGAAAAAGUGCACAAGAGAAAAAAAGGGAGAACUAGACUGAGGGCAAAACAGAUUUAAAAAAAAAAAAAAAAAAAAAAAAAAAAUAUAAGACAAAUGUCAAGAAGAGACUGUAGGUUGAAAGACAGAAAGCGAGGAUGACAGAGAUGGAGAGAAAGACAGAGCGAGAGCUGUAUUGUGCUGGAUAAGGAAACUGAACAGAUGGCCACACCGCAGAGAGAAGACCACAGCGGAGACAUUACAACACUCAGGUGUCCCACAGUCUGAUCGUGCAGCGAAGUGGCAGCUCCCUCAUCAGGAGGUUGUUCAUCCAGCGGAAGGCAAACUGCAGAUUAUGUCCCACUGCCAAAUAAACCGCCACAGAGAGAAGACCAUACGCUGUGUCAGGCGGUCUCAAUAUGUUCUCCAUGUGGAGUUCAAACGUCAGUGUGGAUGUCAGUGUCAUGGCAUGGCAGGCUGGCAUCAGCGCUCGCCGAGAAGAAUGGACGAGAAGCAGAACUGUCAGCUGAAAAACUUGCCGCAUACGGGGCUGUGACACUGAGAACGGCCGCCUUUGUUCCGUCCUCUGUUCUUCAUAA